GUGUGCAGUUGAAUUCUUGAGCGUGUUUUUGUUCUGUUGGACCUUGACCUGACUACGAAAUCUUUACACCUUGCAGUUACCCGCCUCUGGUCCCAAGAGUCUCCGGUGUCGUAGGAGCAAGGCUCAGUUUUCGAACUUUGUACCAAAGCCUUGUGAGCCCCACGUCAAGAGGGAUCAGGUGUGAAGAGGGCACUUCUCUGGGAGGAGGCUAACACCAGGCUGGACAUGGGAAACUAAGGAGCAAGUCUAAAACAGUACCUUUCCUGAUCUUAGAAGGUUAACCUUCCCGAGCUGUCAAGCAGAGCCAGCCUCAAUAACCCAAGUCCAUGGAAAUCAUAACUGAGAAGGUAAGCUUAUAAAUGCACAGUGAGCAAAAGGGGAA
Long non-coding RNA from Cervus elaphus (red deer), 382 nucleotides. RefSeq lists it as uncharacterized. The transcript is spliced from 3 exons. Lineage: Eukaryota; Metazoa; Chordata; Mammalia; Artiodactyla; Cervidae. The record is from RefSeq and is a predicted model, not a curated record.